UCCUCGAUGGUCAAGCCAUUAUUCAUAAACAGGAGGUGGUUUAUUCAGAUGGAAGGAAUGGAGUUAAUUUGGAUGAUGGAUUCUUAUAACAUAUGGAUUCUUAUUACACAAUAUGGAGCAUACAGUGAGAUCGACAGUUUCAGAAUGAUGCAGCUGAGGUAUAUAGAGAAGAGGGAGAAGUACAAAUUGAAACAGUGAGAAGAGGAAACGAAUAUUAUGCAGAAUCGAGAAACAGAAAAGAGGCAGCAUAUGUAUCAACAGAGAAAAAUGUGUGGCAGCGACAUGGAAAUAUGAGGAUCAUAGUAGAAAACGGGAAUGAACAAUUAGUUAUAGGAACUUGAAAACUCUGAAGGCAGCAAGACUAAUGGGGCAGUGGCACAUAAAGAAAGUGAACAUGAU
Molecule: long non-coding RNA, 399 nt
Organism: Eufriesea mexicana
Lineage: Eukaryota; Metazoa; Arthropoda; Insecta; Hymenoptera; Apidae
Exons: 3
Source: RefSeq, a predicted model, not a curated record